RNAcentral lists this ribosomal RNA (449 nucleotides) under uncultured bacterium. RNAcentral's name for it is "bacterial SSU rRNA". It matches the Rfam family "Bacterial small subunit ribosomal RNA", at positions 355 to 796 of the family's 1533-position model. The record is from RNAcentral.
UGGGGAAUUUUGGACAAUGGGGGCAACCCUGAUCCAGCCAUGCCGCGUGCGGGAAGAAGGCCUUCGGGUUGUAAACCGCUUUUGGUCGGGACGAAAGGUCACUUCCUAACAGGGGGUGAUGUUGACGGUACCGGCAGAAUAAGCACCGGCUAACUACGUGCCAGCAGCCGCGGUAAUACGUAGGGUGCGAGCGUUAAUCGGAAUUACUGGGCGUAAAGCGUGCGCAGGCGGUUGGCCGUGUCCUGUGUGAAAGCCCCGGGCUUAACCUGGGAAUGGCAUGGGAAACUGGCUGGCUGGAGUGUGGCAGAGGGGGGUGGAAUUCCGCGUGUAGCAGUGAAAUGCGUAGAGAUGCGGAGGAACACCGAUGGCGAAGGCAGCCCCCUGGGCUGACACUGACGCUCAGGCACGAAAGCGUGGGGAGCAAACAGGAUUAGAUACCCCCGUAGUCC